GGGUAUGUGUCUGGCAUUCGAUAGUAAUCCCUUUUAUUGUAAAUGUCUCCGCUUGAAGUCAUGGGUCCUUUUGUAUUGUGAAUACAAUCUAACAAUGUGAAUAUGUGUGUGGUAUGUAAAUUGCUAAAUACAUGACUGGUAUAUUGCAUGUAUAUUAUUAUCGAUAAUGCCAUUGUGUUUUGGCUAUGUUCACACCCGGGAAAAGGUGUGUAUAUGCAUGAUAUGAUAAAUUUGUUAAGCAAAGGUAAAUGGAUAGGCUUGCUUGGGC
RNAcentral lists this long non-coding RNA (268 nucleotides) under Theobroma cacao (cacao). Its description in RNAcentral is "long non-coding RNA (TCAC_LNC001078)". Lineage: Eukaryota; Viridiplantae; Streptophyta; Magnoliopsida; Malvales; Malvaceae. The record is from RNAcentral.